Molecule: long non-coding RNA, 1406 nt
Filed under: Helianthus annuus (common sunflower)
Lineage: Eukaryota; Viridiplantae; Streptophyta; Magnoliopsida; Asterales; Asteraceae
Description: hypothetical non coding rna
Source: RNAcentral
AAACCCUAAUCCUCAAUCAGGGACUUCUGAAUCCCGAAUCCUUCUCCUCCAUUCUCCCCCUUUUACAAAAUGGCGACACAAGUUGAACCAAAGAUCGCACCUUCGAUGCUAUCAUCAGACUUCGCUAAUCUUGCAUCCGAGGCGGAGAUGAGACAGUAAAGGAGGCCGGCCACCCUGUUUUGCUCACCACACACAGCGCCACGGCGUUGCUACGGCGGAGCCGGCCGUACUUUGGCGCGUGGACCAUCACAAACCGAUGACCGAAGGGUGAGGAGUCUUCAAACUCUAGGUAUGUAUCUAUUCAAUUUCAAGAUGUUUUCUGUUUGCUUUGAAUGAAGGCUUCUUUGUGUUCUAGAGUUUCUUUACCUUAUUAUUAUUAUUGAUUCUGCUGAAUUUGGGGAAAUUAGAUCCAGUUGCAUAUGUUUGAUUUCUGUUGACAAGGGUUUCGUGGUUAGCUUUUGUGUCAUUGUUGCACGUGAGUUUCAAACCAGCUAUGGUGAAAGAUUAAGAGAUCAGUUUCAGAUAGCGAGUUUAGGCUAUUGCAUCCAGAGCAGGGGAUGAUCUAAAUCUGGCUUCAAAAAAAGCCCAAGAAGCAGGAUAAUUAUACUUUCCGCUCUGGUGACAUGAAGUGUUAAGAUGAGUAAUAGUGAUUACUUUUUGGCAAUACUUGAAACAACAGUGUCUUCAGCAUCCAUGUGUAAUGAUGCUUUGGGGAGUGGUUUACUCAGAAGUAGCAAAAUUUGUUAAGUUUGUGGACUACCAAAGUUGUAUACUUUAUCCUUCUAUUCGUUAACGUGAUGAAGAAAGAAGACGUCACCUGAGGGCUAAAGUUCGGCGAUGCUCCAAAGAAAGACGAUGUAAUGAUUUGCGUGGGAAACAAAGUUUUGCCCAUUAAUGAAUCGACCACGACAUCUUCAUCCUCAAAAAACCCGAAUUCGAUUCACGUUUUUUAAACCAAGUUUGUAUGACAUUGAUUUUUGAGUUAUCUGUUGUCUAAUGGAUAUCUUUUGUCUUUUCUUUUGGUGUAUUAGGCUUGAAGCUCUAAACGAAAAGAGGUCUUGGGUGGUGUAGCUGGUUAACUUAGCUGAUAAAGAAAGAGAAAGCCUAGAGGUUACAACUUAUAACAAGCCUGUUUGAUUGUAUAGAUUGGAGAAAAGAGUUUAAUGAUACAGAUUUAGCAAGCCAAUGUACCCAUAGGUACAAAAUAUACGUUGAAGGAAACACAUGGUGUGAAUGUGUAUAGCUGACGCUUGACAGUUUGUUUUCGGUAAUUUACGAAUUUGGUAGUAUUUAAAAAGCAAACAUCUGCGUUUCGCUUUUAUUGUUUUCAUUAUAUUGAGCCGCCAAUAAUGGAUGUUAAACCGUCAUUUAUGGAAUAGUUUAAAUAUUUAAUGACCUAUUUAUUU